This is a long non-coding RNA of Rhipicephalus sanguineus (brown dog tick), 3415 nucleotides long. RefSeq lists it as uncharacterized. Lineage: Eukaryota; Metazoa; Arthropoda; Arachnida; Ixodida; Ixodidae. The transcript has 2 exons. The record is from RefSeq and is a predicted model, not a curated record.
UCCCAGAUCAUUGCAGUGUUUCCCUGACGGUCAUAAACACCGUGCUGUGGUUUUCCGUGGCUAGAUUGUGAUGAAAAUGAAAUAAAAGGCGUUGACUAGUUUGUAAAAGACAAGACUUAUGCAAUGUAUUUGUAUGACAGGACGUUCGCACCGAAAUAUCCAUAGAAAGCAUGUGACAAAGUUCUGUCAGCAAAUGUUUUACCAUACUGUGGACAACGUAACUUACCACAACAUGUGUGAUAAUUUUGUAACUGGUAACUUUGCCUGGUGUGAAGGCAUGCCGAACUGUAUAGUUGAGCCUAUAUUAAUGAACUCGCAUGUUAUAACAAACUCUGUAUGUAAUCCUCGUCAAUAUAGCUGUUUAACAAGUAUAAGCUUAUAAUGAAUAUUGAAUGUCCUUGUUCUAACAAAGUUUGCCUGUGCUUUGAAUUGAACUUCACUGGUAACAGGCAACAUGUACAAAGUGAUGCAAGGAACUUACUUUUUAAUCUGUCAUGUUUUGAACUUAGUUCCUCAGUUAAACGCCAUGUAAUGCUUAUUGUUUUACAUUCGCUCAGGAGCAGUGACACAAACUUCCGAAAAAAAAAAAAGCCUUCCCAGAGCGCUCGUUGAAAACGAGAUAUUUAAAUGAAGUGUUACUUCUUUGCCAAUAUGUUGGUGAUGUUGAUAAAUAUUGGAAAUGUGCUAAUAAUCGAUGGUAUGCUGAUUGAUUGCAUUAUAUUUGCACUUUCACAUCACUGCAGUUAUGUGAAAACUUUCAAAUUAAAUAUGGCAAUUUUUCGAAGCAAGUCAAUAUGCUGGGAUUCUCACUAUUCACACUAGUUAUAUCUUGUGCCUGAAAUCACACAGCCGAAGCAAACUGUUCCAAGUCAAAAUAGUGACCUAGUAAUGUAAUCGUCACACAGGCAAGACAGUAAUCACUUCAUUAAUGUUUGUCUCAAUAUUUAAUAGGCUUUAAGCAGUAGCACUCGUUCUUAAGAUAUCUGUUCUUCAAACCUUCAGCGAAUGAUAUUGAUGUUCUGCGUAGAAAUUUGAAGUGGAACAGUGAUGUAAUCGCCACUCAAUUCCAGAACAGCAGUCCUGAUAACAGACUUGCUGUGCAUGGAAGAGACAUGAUUUAAGCAAUGUCCAUAUUCGGUUAUGCAGCUAAAAGACUUAAGUUUACGACUGAAAACAUUUUUGAAUAUCACAUAAUUGUGCUUUCAAUGAAUACCGGCAAAUUUCUUAUAGAUCUGAAUCUGAAGUCAGGUCAGAGCUUAUGGCAUAAAGUGCCGACAUUAACAGCAAUAGAAAAUUGUACUUGGUGCAUAUUUAGCGGUUUUCCAUUGGUAACAACAUGUGUCAUUUGCGUUCAUUUCUUGAUUGCAUGUUUAUACCUGGCUAUUUAUUGCAUCUGCAAAGGCGUAACAUAGAAGUACUUGUUGCUGUGCUAGUUGGUUCAUCAUAAUGAGGGAAAAAAAACUAGACACCUAGAACACCGAAAGAAUGGAAGAAGAAGCACAGGGAAAGAGCGCUUUCCCUGUGCUUUUUCGUCCUUCUUUCGGUGUUUUAGGCGUCUGGUUUUUUGUUUUUUUUCCCUCAUUAAGGCGUAACAUGCAGAUACCUGUAGUCACUAGUCAAACAUUGCCGGACACUUUUGUGGAAGGCGCACAUAUGUGGCGCCAUCUUGUGGUUCUGCACGGUGCAUUGUCCAACUCGACUGCAUUGCUGCAUUCUUUGGCAAAGAAUAGAAAUAUGACAAGACCAUGACUCCAAUGUUGAGUUUACAAGCACGUAUAUUUAUAUGCGUGACAAAGUUUUUGGCAUUUGCUUUUCAAGGAAAAGAAAGGGUUGUGUCAUUUCUGCCUUUUCGAUUUAACACACAGUUUGUUCUUGGAGGUGUCGACAAACAUCCUCAGAACCACCGAACACAGCAGACCUCAGCUAUAAUGCCAUUAUGUAGCCAGAGAUAUGUUGAUACUCAAACCUCAAUAUAACGAACACGGAUAUAACGAAUUGCCAGUUAUAACGAAGUAAAUGAAUAAUAGCCUUGGUAAUACAGUGGUUCGACUGUAUGCUUAUAACGAAUUUUCGGAUAUAGCAAAGUUAUUUUCUUGUCAAAUGUGACUUUGUUAUAAUGUAGUUUAAGUGUACAAGCACAGUGGUUGAUCUUAGUUGGGAAUGACCGAAAAGGUUCUCAGUAUAACAAAGCUCUAGUAGCACGGGCCCAAGCAAAUGCAGACACAUUUUUGGCAUUGUAGAUGCUCACCUGCAUGCUUUUUUACUUCUAAGGGCAUAACACUUGACAAAUUUGUAAACAUGUUUAGAGUGACUUCAGUCGGCCCGGAACACACAAGCUUGGCUUGUCAUUAUUACAACACAAAGCGAAAUUUGCUGACAUUUUGCAGUACCGAGACUACGUAUGGUGGCGUCGCAAAAAGAAAAAGUACUGAGUACUAGAUGCAUUUCGUGAAAUGCAACUGCAGAAAUAGCAGAAACAAGGCUGGCCAAUGCUUUGCAACCAUGUAACAUGUGCCCUUCCUAUAGUCGGGUACAACUUUAGAUGGCAGUGGCAUUUUCCCUUCAAAGGUGGAUGCACAUGAGCCUACACCAAUAGGUGCGCACUUCAGGUGACGUCAUGAGCCGGACGGCCGGUGACCCCGCCGACAGAGAACAUGCCUAACAUGGCCACUUGGGACUAUUUCUUUAGUCGCAGAGCCAAUUGGCUGCUGCGCUUCGGUCAUCUGGGCGGAGCCUCUCCUGUCUUCUAAAGUUGUACACGCCUAUAGGUAAUGCUUUGUGGAAACAACCACUUUAAGGCAAAGAAAGCGCAGGGUCUAUAAUUUGUAGCGAUUAUAAACUAUUAGUAGUUACCCUUACGCUUUUCUUAUCUUCAUAUGCUUGUACCUGACACCUGGCACCUCGGUCGUAGUAGAAACAAGUAUUGGGUGCUCGAAUGUUUCCCAGCUAUUUCAUCUAAGAGCAAUUCACCCUUUAACGCUAAGAAAUAUCGGCAUGUUGAAAAUGAUGUGUCUGUGCACCUUGCUGCGUAUCUACCACUGGCCAAAGAAUAUGCAGAAAAAAAUUUUUCACAGUACCUACCGCACGAGAAUUACGAAGAGGCAAUGGCUCUAGCAGUGCGCAGCAUUUUGCAUUCAGCACCGUUGAGGAGGCUAGUUUUAUGAAGAACUGUGGUGAGAAACUAGCGGUCUCAUUAACUUUGCGUGUGGAUAUGCAGAGCGCGCUUUUUCUGCGACACUGAUGCGUGGCUGGUGUGUGUGUGUGUGUUGCGAUGAUAUGCCUGCAAGUUUGACGUGGAAAACAUUGAGCGAGUGCUGCGAAGCGUGCAUGCGAUGGAAGCUCGUGUGCUGUUUAAAUUGCUUUUCGUAAAGACCAUGUAAAUGAGAUGUAAUAAAGUUAUAUAUACGCAAUGCAA